CAUCGAAUCCUAUUUCUUUGGAAAUUCCUUGCCACAACAACUCCCUCUUAUCAACAUUCUUGUAGGCGUUUUUAAGCUCUCGCCGUUCAGACAUCAAAGACACCAGCAGCUUCAACUUGCUAUUUGCUUGCUUCAUUUUCAGCUUCUUCUUCUUUGUGUUGAUCUCCAGGUGAACCAAUGAACCAGUGUUUAAUAAAUAAUUUGAACUGUUCUCCGGUCAGUUUUAUAAUGUAAGUUUAUAAAACUGAAAUUAUUCAAUAGUGUUUGGACUGAUCCCUGCUCAGUGCUUGCCUCAGGAUGCCUUGUUAAUAAUCUGACAUGAAAUCCCACCGAAUUACCUGAUAAAAAUAAAAAAAAAGACAUGGCCAGAUGCUGUGGGUUAUUACGUAGGUGAGAGAAAAUUUGGAAAGUUUUGCAUUUAUUAAACCUUAUUCACAAUAAGGAGCCUACAGGUUACAAAACCCAGCUCUUGUACUUGUCAGACAGAUGUUAAAAACUCAACACAUUAAAAAACAAAAACAAAAAAAACAAACAAACAAACAAUUUUUUUUUAAAUGGCUCUUACAAUGAUGUGGACAGGCACACUUCACCCAGGAUUCAAACCCAAGGCAGCAGCAUACCAUUUGAAAACACCAUCGACUCCCCCACACACUUCCUUGUUUGACACAAACAACAUGUGGGUUAUAAUUCGUUAAGGCUUAUCUGAAUCGUUGUCAAGGUUGUUUCAUAGCAACACCUGCAAGUGACCACUAGGUGUCACCGUGGAGACGGGUGUCGGAUUGUUUCGAAGCCUCGAGACAAUAUGGCACAUUUGCUUGUCCUGUUUCAGUGUACCACGAAGCCUCGCUCUGCACACCACUGGUGGACACGGGCGCAGUCGUUUUAUAUCGUCUCUUUUAAAACCUCCAGAUUUUUUCCAGAUGAACUGCAGAAAUUUAGCAGAACGCCAUAUUUUAAUCCACAAACUAAUCAACUUCCCACUGCCGUAGCCUGCUGUACUUCCUGUAUAUCUUGAUUGAUAGAUGCCUCGCCCAAUCAGCGAUUUAUUGAGACUCUGUGGAGUAUUGCCAAGAGGAAAAUGAGAGACACCAGACCCAACAAUACAGACAAGUUGAAGGUCGCUAUCAAAGUAACCUGGGCUUCCAGAACACCUCAGCAGUGCCACAGGCUGAUUCCCUACAUGCCACACCGCACUGAUGCAGUAAUUUUGAUGCAAAAGCAGCCCUGACCAAGUACUGAGUGCAUACAUUAACAUACUUUUCAGGACGUUAUAUUUAUAAUAUAAUACAUUUCUGUAUUAUAAAUGGUUUAUUCUAAUAUUUUGAGAUACUGGAAUUU
Molecule: long non-coding RNA, 1338 nt
Organism: Ictalurus punctatus (channel catfish)
Lineage: Eukaryota; Metazoa; Chordata; Actinopteri; Siluriformes; Ictaluridae
Source: Ensembl